GGGCUAGUAAAGGUUUCGACAGGGAUUAUGAAACUGGAGAAGCGAGUCGUAUGGUAAUGCGUUAAAUGGCCAAAUUAAAAUUAAACGCUGAAGAUAAUAAUUUAGCAUACGCUGCCUAAUUUGGCAGUAGUCUGACCUAGUGCACUCACACAUUAGGACCCAGGCUUCGACUAUGUGAGAAACGACAUGGACUAAGCUUUGCGUCCAUGGGCGUAUCAUGAAGCUACUAAAACCGCAAGGGUGUUUGUUCCCGGGCGGCAGAGGGAAUGUCAAAGAACAAACUACACUCGUAGAAGGACAGGGGAUUGGUUUUUGGACACGGGUUCGACUCCCGUCUAGUCCACUC
RNAcentral lists this transfer-messenger RNA (346 nucleotides) under Roseburia sp. AM16-25. It matches the Rfam family "transfer-messenger RNA". Rfam says of the family: Bacterial tmRNA, also known as 10Sa RNA or SsrA, is named for its dual tRNA and mRNA-like properties. RNAcentral also lists the same sequence under 1 other name. The record is from Rfam by way of RNAcentral. Lineage: Bacteria; Bacillati; Bacillota; Clostridia; Lachnospirales; Lachnospiraceae.